This 636-nucleotide ribosomal RNA is filed under the name Ichneumon confusor. RNAcentral describes it as "eukaryotic LSU rRNA". It matches the Rfam family "Eukaryotic large subunit ribosomal RNA", at positions 590 to 812 of the family's 3401-position model. Lineage: Eukaryota; Metazoa; Arthropoda; Insecta; Hymenoptera; Ichneumonidae. The record is from RNAcentral.
UCGAAUGGGGAGAUUCAUCGUCAGCGAUUCCGGUACGUGUGCGGCUCGCGAUGUCCGAGACUUCGGUCUCGCGGCACGCGUCCGCAUGUUUUUUAUUGCUGGAAUCGUCGGCGUGCACUUCUCCCCUAGUAGGACGUCGCGACCCGUUGGGUGUCGGUCUACGGCACGGUAGGUAGCCUGUCACGUGUGCGCUUCACGGCGUUACGCGGGGCAGACCUCCGUUCGCCCGACCGGCUGCUCGGCGGUACUCGCAAGGUAUCUGGCCGCAGACAUACGAACUGCGUCCGGCCCGUCGCAAGCGCGGCAAGUGUUUCCCGGCUGUCACGGAUCUAAUGCCGUCACCGGGCCUUGCCAGCUGUUGGUUGACGGUGUCCUAGGACUGGCUAACAAWWAAUUAUGAUACCGGUCGGCGACSCUACUGCUUUGGGUACUUUCAGGACCCGUCUUGAAACACGGACCAAGGAGUCUAACAUGUGCGCGAGUCAUUGGGAGCUAUUAAGCCUAAAGGCGCAAUGAAAGUGAAGAUCGGCCUCGCGCCGAUCGAGGGAGGAUGGACCGCGUCACGAUGCGGUCCCGCACUCCCGGGGCGUCUCGUUCUCAUUGCGAGAAGAGGCGCACCCAGAGCGUACACGUUGG